Molecule: ribosomal RNA, 253 nt
Filed under: uncultured bacterium
Lineage: Bacteria
Description: partial 16S ribosomal RNA
Rfam family: Bacterial small subunit ribosomal RNA
Source: RNAcentral
GACAGAAAAUGCGAACGUUGCUCGGAAUGACUGGGCGUAAAGCGCAUAUAAACGGCCGCACACGUCGGGUGUGAAAACCCGAAGCUCAACCCCGGGCAUGCAUUCGAUACGACGCGGCUGGAGGCCUGUAGAGGAGAGCGGAAUUCCCGGUGUAGAGGUGAAAUUCGUAGAUAUCGGGAGGAACACCAGUGGCGCAGGCGGCUCUCUGGACAGGUUCUGACGCUGAGACGCGAAAGCGUGGGUAGCAAACAGG